CACUGAAACAUAGAUCACUU
Molecule: microRNA, 20 nt
Filed under: Ciona intestinalis (vase tunicate)
Lineage: Eukaryota; Metazoa; Chordata; Ascidiacea; Phlebobranchia; Cionidae
Description: cin-miR-4139-5p
Source: miRBase by way of RNAcentral